AGCAGCGAAAGGAGAGCGACGUGCUUGGUGUUCUGGGACUGUAGUCGUAUUGUUCGGACUGUGAAGAAUAAUUUGAUCAGUUACUGCAGUCCCACUUACCACGCUGUCAACAUCCGACAUAAUUGAGGUAUACUUCGUAGUCAUCGUCGUAUUCGCUGAUGUUGCAGUUGACGUCCCCGACUCCAACAUACUGGACAGAUCUGUGCCUUGGAUACCCUGAGAAUAGAAUAACGGAGCUCAGACGAAGUUAGCUUGGUGUUAAAAUGGGACUAAUGUGAAGACUCGGACGAUGCGAAAGAGAACGGGAAUCAGUUGAAUGGUACAUCGGAAGACUUCACAGCAAAAAACCAUAAGUCCGUAAAACAUUUUGAUAUUUUGAUACAUGUUAAAAAUUGAAUGUAAAUAAACAAAGUAUCAGUACUACAAAGAAUACGGCAAUGUUUAGUAACGAAAGAAACGUUUCUCGCAUUUUCCGUGAAAAAUAACUGGCAUUAAUUCUACAUUGAUUUCCAAGUAAGUGUUAAUAAUUCAUUUUGCAUAGUUUCAUAGUUCUUCUUUAUCCAAAUCAAGGUUCAUCGUUAACAUUAUUUUAUUUUACUCACCGUAACAGCGACCAGGAGGCACAAAGUAAUUGCGAAUUUUGCCAUCUUGAACGAUUUGGAUUGAGCAGAAUACUUGGUAGUCGAAUUGAAACAAAGUUGUGAUACGAUAUGCCGAAAUUCGCGCUCCUUAUAUACCUACGCAAUGAAACCAGCGUAAUCGUGUGCAAAUUAAACACUUGUGUAAACCCCGGAAUAGGAGGAUGAACAGCGAAAAGUAUGGAGUGGUUAAAGCCACGACAGGAAGUUCUCUAAGCUGCACUAAAGAUGUAAAAAAUUGACUGCUCAUUUUUUGGGAAUGAGUAAUCUUUCACAAGGCUCACCAGAUAUUUGGCCUAGGAAACGAUUCGAUUCUAGGAGAAUAAUGGAACCUGUUCAGUAUAAAAUUCUGUGAUUUAGGAAUAUCGGAGGUAUCUCAGAAAAAAAAUCGAGAUGUACAGAGUAUUUCAACACAGGUAACUAAUUUCUCAAGUCUUAUUGCAAUUUUCUUUUCUAGGUCGAUCACAUUAGUCUACUUUGUUGUUUUGACUUUUCAUUUUUCAGCUCUGCAAUAACUAUCAACUUUCUUAAGAUUCCUGUUUUGAUCGGUAUCAAUCCAUUUUGGAUUUCCCAUGACUCGUAUAGAAAUUCCCAGCUUUAUUUCAGCCAUUAAAUCAUAUUGUAUCUAAGCCUGUGCGAAUCUUGGAAAAGUAGAAGACCACCAAAAUUCAUUUACCUUCUCGACAAUUCGCAAAAUAAACUCGUGUACGCCAUUUGUGUAACCUUAGCAGUUGAAUGUUUGCUUCGUUAGUAUUAUUUCUACAUCGAGUUACGUCGUAGUGAUAAAUGAAGAAAUUAAGAUAAGGUUGAUGCUCCAAAUUACGACUGAUCGUCAGAUGGUGCAAGAUAAAAGUAAUGAAUUAAUGAUUCUGAUGCAUUUCUUUUUCGCGAAAAGUAGAGAAAUAUAUUGCAUUCCAGCAAUUUAUUUCACAAAGGUAACAAAAACUUUUAUUUCCCAUUUCUUAAAAAAUAUACAUAUAUUUAUUGGGCUAGAACGAAAUUUUUCUUAUCGAUGUUAGUUAUCGUAGUAGGCGAUCCAUUGCAUUACUGGAAAGGAAUAUUUUUUACGUCUGUAACAGCGAGAGAAAUUAGGUAUCAAACCUGUUGAAUCUAAUUAUAGGGUUCGCGCUUACAGAUGCGUAUAAUUUUAACGUAGCCCCAACGCACGCGCUGAUUCAGAUCACUUGUCUAAAUAUAGCAGAAAAUAUUGGAGAAUCGAAAUCGCUAUCGCUCUGUUCAUCAAACAGGUAUACUGCAAAUAUUUGCAUGGUUUUGCUCACUUAAUCGUAUUAUCAUCAUUUUACCAAUCAUAUAAUUAUUCUAUGUCUCGUAACCGAGUUACUGACAUUGAGUUCAAUCGACCCCACUGAAGUAUCAACGUGCUAUUAUUGUACCAUCUGUUUUUUCCUUUACUUCGAAUAUUAUCUUUCUGUCCCUGAUCACAAAACUUGGAUUUCUAGCGUUUAUACUUUUUCCACAGCGAAAACUUAGACAUUAAUUGGAGACACUGUGGAAUAUGUAUCGACAGUUUCGUUGGAUAAUAGGAUGGAAAAUAAUUUUUGCAGUGUCGAGCAAAUCCGGACGUAUAUGUUGAACACGCGUCGACUUUGUGACGUUUUUGAAACCCUCGUGCAUGUACAGUCAAUCUGAAUUUAUAAAUUCGAAUAGAUGUCUUGACACAACAUGCAUGUGAAAGGUGAUUGGAACAGAUUGCACGAAGAUCCUUGAUACGUCAUCGAAUCAAUAAUAUAAUU
Neodiprion virginianus is the source of this 2392-nucleotide long non-coding RNA. RefSeq lists it as uncharacterized. Lineage: Eukaryota; Metazoa; Arthropoda; Insecta; Hymenoptera; Diprionidae. The transcript has 4 exons. The record is from RefSeq and is a predicted model, not a curated record.